AGCAGCCGCGGUAAUUCCAGCUCCAAUAGCGUAUACUAAAGUUGUUGCAGUUAAAAAGCUCGUAGUUGAAUUUCGGGAUCAAAUUGUCGGUCGUGCCUCGGUACGCACUGGUAUUAUUGGUUCCUACCUUCUGAAGAACCGCGAUGUCAUUAAUUUGGUGUCGUGGGGAAUCAGGACUGUUACUUUGAAAAAAUUAGAGUGUUUAAAGCAGGCUUACGCUUGAAUACAUUAGCAUGGAAUAAUGAAAUAGGACGUUUGAUUCUAUUUUGUUGGUUUCUAGGAUUGACGUAAUGAUUAAUAGGGAUAGUUGGGGGCAUUAGUAUUCAAUUGUCAGAGGUGAAAUUCUUGGAUUUAUUGAAGACUAACUACUGCGAAAGCAUUUGCCAAGGAUGUUUUCAUUAAUCAAGAACGAAAGUUAGGGGAUCGAAGACGAUCAGAUACCGUCGUAGUCUUAACCAUAAACUAUGCCGACUAGGGAUCGGAUGAUGUUAAUUUUUUAAUGACUCA
This 507-nucleotide ribosomal RNA is filed under the name uncultured Glomus. RNAcentral describes it as "SSU rRNA". It matches the Rfam family "Eukaryotic small subunit ribosomal RNA", at positions 569 to 1078 of the family's 1831-position model. The record is from RNAcentral. Lineage: Eukaryota; Fungi; Glomeromycota; Glomeromycetes; Glomerales; Glomeraceae.